RNAcentral lists this ribosomal RNA (431 nucleotides) under uncultured bacterium. RNAcentral's name for it is "partial 16S ribosomal RNA". It matches the Rfam family "Bacterial small subunit ribosomal RNA", at positions 338 to 795 of the family's 1533-position model. The record is from RNAcentral.
CCUACGGGGGGCAGCAGUUGGGAAUCUUGCACAAUGGGGGAAACCCUGAUGCAGCGACACCGCGUGGAGGAUGAAGGUUUUCGGAUUGUAAACUCCUUUUUUGGGGAAAACGGUACCCCAAGAAUAAGCACCGGCUAACUACGUGCCAGCAGCCGCGGUAAGACGUAGGGUGCAAGCGUUAUCCGGAUUUACUGGGCGUAAAGAGCGCGUAGGCGGCUCGUUAAGUGUGAAGUGAAAUCUUCGGGCUCAACCCGAAAACUGCUUCGCAUACUGGCGAGCUUGAGGGGCACAGAGGCAACUGGAAUUCCUGGUGAAGCGGUGAAAUGCGUAGAUAUCAGGAGGAACUCCCAUGGCGAAGGCAGGUUGCUGGGCCAUCUGACGCUGAGGCGCGAAAGCGUGGGUAGCAAACAGGAUUAGAUACCCUUGUAGUC